GAUGAAUGCUGGCGGCGUGCCUAAUACAUGCAAGUCGAGCGGUAAGGCCCUUCGGGGUACACGAGCGGCGGACGGGCUGAGUAACGCGUGGGAACAUGCCCCAAAGUGAGGGAUAACGCACCGAAAGGUGUGCUAAUACCGCAUAUGGUCUUCGGAUUAAAGGAUUUAUCCGCUUUGGGAGUGGCCCGCGUACGAUUAGAUUGUUGGUGAGGUAACGGCUCACCAAGUCGACGAUCGUUAACUGGUCUGAGAGGAUGAUCAGUCAGACUGGAACUGAGACACGGUCCAGACUCCUACGGGAGGCAGCAGUAAGGAAUCUUCCACAAUGGGCGAAAGCCUGAUGGAGCAACGCCGCGUGCAGGAUGAAGGCCCUCGGGUCGUAAACUGCUUUUAUGAGUGAAGAAUAUGACGGUAACUCAUGAAUAAGCACCGGCUAACUACGUGCCAGCAGCCGCGGUAAU
RNAcentral lists this ribosomal RNA (461 nucleotides) under uncultured bacterium. RNAcentral's name for it is "bacterial SSU rRNA". It matches the Rfam family "Bacterial small subunit ribosomal RNA", at positions 28 to 524 of the family's 1533-position model. The record is from RNAcentral.